GAACCAUGCCAUCUUAUUAAGAACUCACUAGUGCAUACACCACAGAACAGGUCUUGUUGUUUAAUAAAGUCCACGAGUAUCAAUAAUUUAUGAAAGAAAAUUUAUAACGAAAAAAUUGUUUUAUAUACUUUUUAAUGGAUUUAUGUUGUAUUUCUUUUGUAGAGGUGUAUUCAACAUCAAACAGUUCAAUGAGCUCAAUUUUAUCAGGAGAUACCACAUUUGGAAACUCAGGCAGUAAAACACGGUCAAAAUCAAGUGAAUUAAAGUUUAGUGGUAGAUUCAAGUCAAUAAAUCAAGUGGAAGUUUUAAGUCAGAAUAACCUUACCCUAUUUUCUGGAAACAAUAAUGCUUCAUCCCAUAUAAAUGAACUUGAUAAACCAUUGUUUGAAGAUUAUAAUACAUAUGACUCGAGUGCAUCUUGUAGCCGCUUUUCCUCUAGCGUCGAUCAAGGAAAAUCAGAGAAAAUCGCUCUUCAAAUACACAGGCCCGUUGACGCUUAAUGUCCGGUUUUAAAAAAGACUGAAUUAUUCCAUAAAGCUUCCGACUCACAUGGCUACAAAAAACGUGGUCGUAAAAAGGGAUCUAGAGGUGUUGAUGCUGUAAUUUCUAAAGAGUCGUCUAGCUUGUGCCAGCAAAUCUUCUUAGGCAGCUCGACAGUAAAUAAAGUCAAGACGACAAAGGAACUUUUUAAUGAAAUCCAGAGCAGAAAAUUAACUGCUUCGCACUCUUCAACAUUUCGUGACAAGACAAAAUGUGCUCGCUUAAAAAGACGAACGUCAUCAUGUUCGGAAGCAUCAAUACUUUCACCAAAUUUAAUGGAAAAUUACUCUGGCAACGUAACUCUAAUGGAUAUUGAUACAUUUUCAAAAAAAAUUCGUGGUAAGAUACAAAGAGGC
Drosophila ananassae is the source of this 896-nucleotide long non-coding RNA. RefSeq lists it as uncharacterized. The transcript has 2 exons. The record is from RefSeq and is a predicted model, not a curated record. NCBI's taxonomy places the organism in Eukaryota, Metazoa, Arthropoda, Insecta, Diptera, Drosophilidae.